AAGCUCGUAGUUGAAUUUCGGGGUUAGUAGGUUGGUCAUGCCUCUGGUAUGUACUGGUUUCACUGAUUCCUCCUUCCUGAUGAACCGUAAUGCCAUUAAUUUGGUGUUGCGGGGAAUUUGGACUGUUACUUUGAAAAAAUUAGAGUGUUUAAAGCAAGCUAACGCUUGAAUACAUUAGCAUGGAAUAAUGAAAUAGGACGUUCGAUCCUAUUUUGUUGGUUUCUAGGAUUGACGUAAUGAUUAAUAGGGAUAGUUGGG
This 258-nucleotide ribosomal RNA is filed under the name uncultured Glomus. RNAcentral describes it as "partial 18S ribosomal RNA". It matches the Rfam family "Eukaryotic small subunit ribosomal RNA", at positions 624 to 886 of the family's 1831-position model. The record is from RNAcentral. Lineage: Eukaryota; Fungi; Glomeromycota; Glomeromycetes; Glomerales; Glomeraceae.